GUUGUAUAGGAAAUGAAAAAAAUAUUUUGAGUUGUUCACAUAGAGAAUGGGGAUCACAUAAUUGUACACAUAAGGAAGAUGCUGGUGUACAAUGUUCAGCUUUCAACUCUGUUAGACUUCGGGGACCAAGAAGUUCUAUUGGCAUAGGUCGUGUGGAAGUAUUUUACAAUGGUGAAUGGGGAACAAUUUGUGAUGAUGGCUGGGACUUAAACGAUGCUAAAGUUGUUUGUCGACAACUUGGUUAUGACUAUGCUGUCAGGGCUUUACUAGGAGGUAAUGUUCUACAUGGCAGUGGAAGAAUAUGGUUAGACGAAGUUCGUUGUGUAGGAAA
Molecule: long non-coding RNA, 331 nt
Organism: Xenia sp. Carnegie-2017
Lineage: Eukaryota; Metazoa; Cnidaria; Anthozoa; Malacalcyonacea; Xeniidae
Exons: 2
Source: RefSeq, a predicted model, not a curated record